CCUAUGGGAGGCAGCAGUCAGGAAUAUUGCGCAAUGGGCGAAAGCCUGACGGGGCAACGCCGCGUGAGUGAUGAAGGUCUUCGGGUUGUAAAGCCCUGUGGGGAGGGGAAGAAAAGUUGCCUGGCUAAUAUCCAGGCGACUCUUGACGGUACCCUCAAAGGAAGCACCGGCUAACUCCGUGCCAGCAG
Molecule: ribosomal RNA, 188 nt
Filed under: uncultured Byssovorax sp.
Lineage: Bacteria; Pseudomonadati; Myxococcota; Polyangiales; Polyangiaceae
Description: partial 16S ribosomal RNA
Rfam family: Bacterial small subunit ribosomal RNA
Source: RNAcentral